CGAAGUCUUCGGACUUAGUGGCAGACGGGUGAGUAACGCGUGGGAAUGUGCCUUUCAGUUCGGAAUAACUCAGGGAAACUUGAGCUAAAACCGGAUACGCCCUUCGGGGGAAAGUUUACGCUGAAAGAUCAGCCCGCGUUAGAUUAGCUAGUUGGUGGGGUAAAGGCCUACCAAGGCUACGAUCUAUAGCUGUUCUGAGAGGAAGAUCAGCCACACUGGGACUGAGACACGGCCCAGACUCCUACGGGAGGCAGCAGUGGGGAAUAUUGGACAAUGGGCGAAAGCCUGAUCCAGCCAUGCCGCGUGGAUGAAGAAGGCCCUAGGGUUGUAAAGUCCUUUCGAUGGUGAAGAUAAUGACGGUAACCAUACAAGAAGCCCCGGCUAAUUUCGUGCCACCAGCCGCGGUAAUACAAAAGGGGCUAGCGUUGUUCGGAAUUACUGGGCGUAAAGCGCACGUAGGCGGCCUUGUAAGUUGGGGGUGAAAUCCCGGAGCUCAACUCCGGAACUGCCUCCAAAACUACAAAGCUUGAGGAUGUGAGAGGAUAGUGGAAUUCCGAGUGUAGAGGUGAAAUUCGUAGAUAUUCGGAAAAACACCAGUGGCGA
RNAcentral lists this ribosomal RNA (603 nucleotides) under Aquisalinus flavus. RNAcentral's name for it is "bacterial SSU rRNA". It matches the Rfam family "Bacterial small subunit ribosomal RNA", at positions 67 to 718 of the family's 1533-position model. The record is from RNAcentral. Lineage: Bacteria; Pseudomonadati; Pseudomonadota; Alphaproteobacteria; Parvularculales; Parvularculaceae.